CACGUAGGGCGCAAGCGUUGUCCGGAAUUAUUGGGCGUAAAGAGCUCGUAGGCGGUCUGUUGCGUCCGCUGUGAAAACUCGGGGCUUAACCCCGAGCCUGCAGUGGAUACGGGCAGACUAGAGGUAGGUAGGGGAGAAUGGAAUUCCCGGUGUAGCGGUGAAAUGCGCAGAUAUCGGGAGGAACACCUGUGGCGAAAGCGGCUCACUGGACCAUUACUGACGCUGAUGCUCGAAAGCUAGGGGAGCAAACAGG
RNAcentral lists this ribosomal RNA (253 nucleotides) under uncultured bacterium. Its description in RNAcentral is "partial 16S ribosomal RNA". It matches the Rfam family "Bacterial small subunit ribosomal RNA", at positions 524 to 776 of the family's 1533-position model. The record is from RNAcentral.